CAAAGAACAAGUUGAGUUAUGAGUGCUUUUGCAAAGCAAACGGGUUUGCUGCCACGUAUUUGCUGAAGCGAAUGUGGACAUUCCCAAGGACAGCGUGGGGUCUGUCCGGUUCCGGGGCAGCUGGGACACGGCAGAGAGCACCUGAGUCCCAGACUGGACCGCAGUGUGCAUCGUGCGGCAACUGUGGGCAUCCACCCUUCACUUGCUACCUUCAGAAGGGGUGUGUGUGCGGUGUGUGUGUGUAUGGGAGGUUCCUUGUUUCAGCCACUCACUGUGGGAAGCCCGGAGGCUGCAGUUUAUUUACUCAGCACUGAUGGCGUUCUUGUUCUCUACCAGCAGCGUGUGGCCUCCAGGGCUGCGAGACGAUCGCCGGUCCCAGGAGGCUUAUCCCCACUCUUCAAUUGAGAUGAAAUACGGCCUUGGGAAGAAGCCCCUGGCUCUGAGGCCUGAGACGUCCCACCUCACCCCCGCCCCCUCCCCAUCUUCAACAGACUCUGUGACCUUGGGCAAGUUCUCUAGCCUGGGAGUAUCUCCAUGCCUCCCUUUGUGGGACCCCCCAUGGCAGGACCUAGCUCAGAUAGUCCUCAUGCAAAGUAUGUUAGAAGUACUCUGGGGGCACCUGGGUGGCUCAGUCAGUUGAGCUUCCGGCUUCGGCUCAGGUCAUGAUCUCAUGGUUCAUGAGUUCGAGCCCCACAUCAGACUCUGGGCCAACAGCUCAGAGCCUGCAGCCUGCUUCAGAUUCUGUGUCCCCCUCUCUGUCUCUGCCCCUCCCCUUUUCACGCUCUGUCUCUGUCUCUCUCUCUCUCUCUCUCUCUCUCUCACAAAUAAACAUUAAAAUAAAUUUUUUUAAAGAAUAAAU
RNAcentral lists this long non-coding RNA (859 nucleotides) under Felis catus (domestic cat). Its description in RNAcentral is "lncRNA (ENSFCAG00000043082.2)". Lineage: Eukaryota; Metazoa; Chordata; Mammalia; Carnivora; Felidae. The record is from RNAcentral.